CUUAACCUGGGAAUUGCAGCUGAUACUGGCUGGCUAGAGUGUAGUAGAGGGAAGCGGAAUUCCAGGUGUAGCGGUGAAAUGCGUAGAGAUUUGGAGGAACACCAGUGGCGAAGGCGACUUUCUGGUCUGUAACUGACACUGAGGCGCGAAAGCGUGGGGAGCGAACAGGAUUAGAUACCCUGGUAGUCCACGCCGUAAACGAUGAGUGCUAAGUGUUAGAGGGUUUCCGCCCUUUAGUGCUGCAGCAAACGCAUUAAGCACUCCGCCUGGGGAGUACGGUCGCAAGACUGAAACUCAAAGGAAUUGACGGGGGCCCGCACAAGCGGUGGAGCAUGUGGUUUAAUUCGAAGCAACGCGAAGAACCUUACCAGGUCUUGACAUCCUUCGCUACUUCUAGAGAUAGAAGGUUCCCCUUCGGGGGACGA
RNAcentral lists this ribosomal RNA (425 nucleotides) under uncultured bacterium. RNAcentral's name for it is "bacterial SSU rRNA". It matches the Rfam family "Bacterial small subunit ribosomal RNA", at positions 608 to 1029 of the family's 1533-position model. The record is from RNAcentral.